CUGAGUUCAUCCAGAACUCAGCUUCAACGGCAAACCAUCUCCUCCUUCCCUUCAACACUUUCUAACAUGCAUCCUUCACGUAUUCAACACACAUAUACUCAAGUAUAUGUUCACAGGGGUCCAAAACUAGCUAAUAACCCCAAACAACAAAACAAACAUAACACAGCAACAUGUACAUAAAUUAUCAAAAACUACCAUGAAUAACCUAAGCAUGCUUCUCCUUCCUUUCACUCUUCACUCUUCAAAAACCAUAUAAACAGGGUCUAAAACUGCCCUUACCUCUGGAAACAGGAAGAUACACACACUGAACAAAGGAAAAACAGAUCAACCUCUCUUCAACCUCUCAAAAUCUCAAAAGCGUAACUUUUGUUUCUCU
Molecule: long non-coding RNA, 376 nt
Filed under: Manihot esculenta (cassava)
Lineage: Eukaryota; Viridiplantae; Streptophyta; Magnoliopsida; Malpighiales; Euphorbiaceae
Description: long non-coding RNA (MESC_LNC012034)
Source: RNAcentral